AUCCGCUUAGCUCAGUGGUAGAGCAUUGCCCUCCUAAGGCAGGGGUCGAGGGUUCGAACCCCUCAGUGGAUG
This 72-nucleotide transfer RNA is filed under the name Pseudoloma neurophilia. It matches the Rfam family "tRNA". From Rfam's summary of the family: Transfer RNA (tRNA) molecules are approximately 80 nucleotides in length. Their secondary structure includes four short double-helical elements and three loops (D, anti-codon, and T loops). Lineage: Eukaryota; Fungi; Microsporidia. The record is from Rfam by way of RNAcentral.